GCUGAACGCUCGCGGCGUGCUUAACACAUGCAAGUCGAAUGGUGAAGGCGGCGCUUGCUCUGCUGGAACCGUGGCGAACGAGUGAGUAACACGUGAGCAAUCUGCCCCUGCCCCUGGGAUACUCCCUCGACACGGCGUCUAAUACUGGACACGAGCUGCCCAUGCAUCUUCAGCUGCUGGCAAGAACUUCGGUCAGGAAUGCGCUCCCCGCCUAACAGCUUGUUGGUGAGGCAACGGCUCACCAAGGCGUCGACGGGUAGCCGGCCUGAGAGGGUGACCUGCCACACUGCGACAGAGACACGGCCCGGACACGUACGGGGGGCAGCAGUGGGGGAUAUUGCACGAUGGGCGAAAGCCUGAUGCAGCAACGCCGCGUGAGGGACGACGGCCUUCGGGUUGUAAACCUCUUUUAGCAGGGAAGAAGCGAUAGUGACGGUACCUGCAGAAAAAGCGCCGGCUAACUACGUG
Molecule: ribosomal RNA, 468 nt
Filed under: uncultured bacterium
Lineage: Bacteria
Description: partial 16S ribosomal RNA
Rfam family: Bacterial small subunit ribosomal RNA
Source: RNAcentral